CCUACGGGUGGCAGCAGUCGAGAAUCAUUCACAAUGGGGGAAACCCUGAUGGUGCGACGCCGCGUGGGGGAAUGAAGGUCUUCGGAUUGUAAACCCUUGUCAUGUGGGAGCAAAUGAAAAUGUUAGAACCAUAAGCGGAAGAGACGGCCAACUCUGUGCCAGCAGCCGGGGUAAUACGGCGGGCUCAAGCGUUGUUCGGAAUCACUGGGGGGAAAGGGUGCGUAGGCUGUUUCGUAAGUCGUGUGUGAAAGGCGAGGGCGCAAACCGCGAACGGCACAUGAUAUUGCGAGACUAGAGUAAUGGAGGGGGAGCUGGAAUUCUCGGUGUAGGAGUGAAAUGCGUAGAUAUCGAGAGGAACACUCGUGGCGAAGGCGAGUUCCUAGACAUUAACUGACGCUGAGGCGCGAAGGCCAGGGGAGCGAAAGGGAUUAGAUACCCCAGUAGUC
Molecule: ribosomal RNA, 446 nt
Filed under: uncultured bacterium
Lineage: Bacteria
Description: partial 16S ribosomal RNA
Rfam family: Bacterial small subunit ribosomal RNA
Source: RNAcentral